AUAGGGCCUCGCUGCCUUGCCCGUCUGGCGCCAUAUUCACCCAUGUCUUUUUGCGUACUACUUGUUUCCUUGGCGGGUCCGCCCGCCAAUUGGACCUUAUUCAAACCUUUUUUUCAGUUGCAAUCAGCGUCAGCAAAACAAAUGUAAUCAAUUACAACUUUCAACAACGGAUCUCUUGGUUCUGGCAUCGAUGAAGAACGCAGCGAAAUGCGAUAAGUAGUGUGAAUUGCAGAAUUCAGUGAAUCAUCGAAUCUUUGAACGCACAUUGCGCCCUUUGGUAUUCCAAAGGGCAUGCCUGUUCGAGCGUCAUUUGUACCCUCAAGCUUUGCUUGGUGUUGGGCGUCUUGUCUCUCUCCCGAGACUCGCCUUAAAAUCAUUGGCAGCCGGCCUACUGGUUUCGGAGCGCAGCACAUUAUUUGCGCUCUUGUCCAGCCGCGGUCGCGCGUCCAUGAAGCUUCUUUCAACCUUUUGACCUC
Molecule: ribosomal RNA, 476 nt
Filed under: Pyrenophora tritici-repentis
Lineage: Eukaryota; Fungi; Ascomycota; Dothideomycetes; Pleosporales; Pleosporaceae
Description: eukaryotic LSU rRNA
Rfam family: 5.8S ribosomal RNA (bases 156-309)
Source: RNAcentral